UCCGAUUUGUCAUCGGCAGUUUCUCCAGAGUCCCCAGCUUAACCUGUUGGUAACUGGAAAUAAGGGUUGCGCUCGUUGCGGGACUUAACCCAACAUCUCACGACACGAGCUGACGACAGCCAUGCACCACCUGUGCUCAACGCUAUACAUUGCUGUACAGGGCGCUAUGCUUCCAUAGCCUUGCAUUGACAUGUCAAGUUCUGGUAAGGUUCUUCGGGUUGCAUCGAAUUAAACCACAUACUCCACCGCUUGUGCGGGCCCCCGUCAAUUUCUUUGAGUUUUAACCUUGCGGUCGUAUUCCCCAGGUGGUUCACUUAAUGCGUUAACUGCGGCACGAAAGGGGUCGAUACCUCUCACACCUAGUGAACAUCGUUUACUGCGUGGACUAC
Molecule: unclassified non-coding RNA, 389 nt
Filed under: uncultured bacterium
Lineage: Bacteria
Description: contains 16S-23S intergenic spacer region
Source: RNAcentral